GCUGAUUCAGAUAGCCAUGCACGUCUAAGUACAAACUAAAUGAUGGUGAAACUGCAAAUGGCUCAUUACAACGGUUAUGAUGUACCCGGGAGUUCCGAUGGAUAUUUCCAGUAACACUAGAACUAAUACAUGUCCCUGCGUUUAUUAGUUUCGCACAGUCCGUCGCUGAGUCAUGGUAAACAGUUGAUCGACUCGACGUCCCGGAACAGUUUCCGCCCCAUCAGCUUCGAUGGUUGGGUAUUGGCCUACCAUUGCAACAACGGGUAACGAGGAAUUAGGGUUUGAUUUCGGAGAGGGAGCCUGAGAAACGGCUACCACAUCUACGGAUGGCAGCAGGCGCGCAAAUUACCCAAUGCAGACACUGUGAGGUAGUGACGAGAAAUAAUAAAGCGGGACUUCUGUUUCGCUAUUAUAAUGAGGAAUAACCAAAGGUCAUUCCGAUUAGCAACUGAUGGGAAAGUCUGGUGCCAGCAGCCGCGGUAAUACCAGCGUCAGUAGCA
RNAcentral lists this ribosomal RNA (500 nucleotides) under uncultured Myrionecta. Its description in RNAcentral is "SSU rRNA". It matches the Rfam family "Eukaryotic small subunit ribosomal RNA", at positions 30 to 599 of the family's 1831-position model. The record is from RNAcentral. Lineage: Eukaryota; Ciliophora; Litostomatea; Cyclotrichida; Mesodiniidae.